Molecule: long non-coding RNA, 1498 nt
Organism: Quercus robur (English oak)
Lineage: Eukaryota; Viridiplantae; Streptophyta; Magnoliopsida; Fagales; Fagaceae
Exons: 2
Source: RefSeq, a predicted model, not a curated record
UUUUCUUCUUUUUCAUUUCCAGUAUAACACUUCUCUUCACUCUCUCAAACUCUCCCGGUAGUACCUCAAUACCACCAUUUCCACCAUCAUUUUCCGGUAAGAUUACCGGAAAAUUCUUGAGAACCCAUAAGCACCUUCACAUCCUUUUUUUGAGGUUCUAGCUAAUCUCCUUGAAGCUUGGAGAAUUAGGAUUUUAUGGUUGCGAGGUAAGUAGCUUUUUAAUGAGAUUUUUGAAAAAUAAACAUGUUGCAUAAAUGAUGUUUUUGGGUUAGACACACUUUUGGAAACUACCUAUGAAAAUUAUAAUUUCCUAAAACUAUUGUGUCAUAACCUUAAUAUAUGUAUGAUUAUAUUUGAAAUGCAUCAUAUUUGGUAUUGCAUUUGGGGAAAUGCAUGAAUUGUUGAUAUGGAAAAAUGAGCAUCUUUUAUUUAAUUUUUGAUAAGGAAAUCUUGGAUUUUAUGGUAUAUUAAAAAAUUUAAAGAUGCUUAUUUUGUCUUGUUAUGUGGGAAAUUGUUAGAAAAUCUUUUGAUAAUAAUGAAAUUGAAAACCUUACAAACUUUAUGGAAGUUAGAUUAUUUAAAAUUUUUCUGAAACUACCUAGUUAUAAACUAUGUAUUUGAAAGAAAAUGUAUAAUUGUGAGCUUUAUGGGGUUUCAACACCAUGCCAUAUGUGAUUUCCUGAUGAUCACCCGAUUUGGUUUUCGUAGUCUUUGUGACAACGGAAUCAAAUCUAGAUCAGUACCCUUUUACUUUGGAUGACACGUUCUUCCCUACUGCCCAUGGAGAGGAAGAGGUUCAUUGAUUGUGUGUGGGUGAGGCUAUUGUCCAUGGGGUUAAAAGUCUACAUACCAGAGAAGAAAAUAUCAUGUCAGUUGUGAAUGGGUGGAUCCCUUGACCGGUCUAUGUGGUAAUGUGGUAUAUUUGUGAUAAUUUAUCUUAUGUUAGAUAUUAUGGCUUUGAAAAUUUAUAUUGUUGAUGCUCACAGAUUAUAGUAUAUAGCCAUAUUAUUAUUAUUGAAAAUGAAACUUACAUUUCCGCCACCUCCAUUAAUAAUGCUACUUACUGGGCGUUAGCUCAUCCCAUCCUUUAACAGUUUUCAGAUUUACUAGCUAUACCUUGAGUAUGGAGCUUACUUCUUUGGUGAUGAUUAGAGUGCUAUGUUAAAUUUGGAGACUUUUGCUAUAAAUGGUUGGUGGCUCGAUGUUGCUAUGUUCAAUGAGACCUUCAUUAAUUCUAUUGGAGGUGGGCCGCUUGAGGUUUGUUAGCCUUUGGCGUGGUAGGCCUAGACUUGAUGUUAACGUCCAUAAUCUUGAUAAAAUUGUGACUUUGUGUAAUUUAAUGAGUUUUGUAAUAUAUUCAUGUAUUAUGUGGAGGUACAUGAUUUUUAGUUAUUGUUUGUAAAUAUGUUAUAGAGCUCUGACUUGUAAUGUGGAGAUUUUAGUAUGAUUAUAUAUUCUUAUCCUGUGGAAAAGAAAGGAAAAUAAAGAUCUCCUAUAA